AUUGAACGCUGGCGGCAGGCCUAACACAUGCAAGUCGAGCGGAUGAAGGGAGCUUGCUCCUGGAUUCAGCGGCGGACGGGUGAGUAAUGCCUAGGAAUCUGCCUGGUAGUGGGGGAUAACGUCCGGAAACGGGCGCUAAUACCGCAUACGUCCUGAGGGAGAAAGUGGGGGAUCUUCGGACCUCACGCUAUCAGAUGAGCCUAGGUCGGAUUAGCUAGUUGGUGGGGUAAAGGCCUACCAAGGCGACGAUCCGUAACUGGUCUGAGAGGAUGAUCAGUCGCACUGAAACUGAGACACGGUCCAGACUCCUACGGGAGGCAGCAGUGGGGAAUAUUGGACAAUGGGCGAAAGCCUGAUCCAGCCAUGCCGCGUGUGUGAAGAAGGUCUUCGGAUUGUAAAGCACUUUAAGUUGGGAGGAAGGGCAGUAAGUUAAUACCUUGCUGUUUUGACGUUACCAACAGAAUAAGCACUGGCUAACUUCGUG
Molecule: ribosomal RNA, 484 nt
Filed under: uncultured bacterium
Lineage: Bacteria
Description: partial 16S ribosomal RNA
Rfam family: Bacterial small subunit ribosomal RNA
Source: RNAcentral